RNAcentral lists this ribosomal RNA (429 nucleotides) under Pseudomonadota bacterium. RNAcentral describes it as "Proteobacteria bacterium partial 16S ribosomal RNA". It matches the Rfam family "Bacterial small subunit ribosomal RNA", at positions 355 to 776 of the family's 1533-position model. Lineage: Bacteria; Pseudomonadati; Pseudomonadota. The record is from RNAcentral.
UGGGGAAUAUUGGACAUUGGGCGAAAGCCUGAUCCAGCCAUGCCGCGUGUGUGAAGAAGGUCUUCGGAUUGUAAAGCACUUUAAGUUGGGAGGAAGGGCAGUAAGCGAAUACUUUGCUGUUUUGACGUUACCGACAGAAUAAGCACCGGCUAACUCUGUGCCAGCAGCCGCGGUAAUACAGAGGGUGCAAGCGUUAAUCGGAAUUACUGGGCGUAAAGCGCGCGUAGGUGGUUCGUUAAGUUGAAUAUGAAAGCCCCGGGCUCAACCUGGGAACUGCAUCCAAAACUGGCGAGCUAGAGUAGGGCAGAUGGUGGUGGAAUUUCCUGUGUAGCGGUGAAAUGCGUAGAUAUAGGAAGGAACAACAGUGGCGAAGGCGACCACCUGGGCUCAUACUGACGCUGAAGUGCGAAAGCGAGGGGAGCAAACAGG